UCGACGUGCUCCGAGGUCCUGCAGUGAGGAAGCACCACGAGAUCCCUGCAUAAAAGGCAGCACCGACCUUUCAGCUGUCCCCAGUUUCAUUAAAUUUGCCCAGGCUGCUUGCUGCUCAAAAGGUGAGUGACAGCCCAUCUUGGCAAUACCCUAGCAUCCCGGAAAUACUGGAGGAUUUUCUUUUCUAUGGGUGGGGAGAGGAUCCCUCUCUCUGCAGGCGGGCAGGUCAAAUGCAAGGUUUGAUUGCCCACAGAAAUGGUCCAGCACCUUGUCCAGCUCUGGCCAAUGCUGAGGGGGAUCCUCCAGCACUUCUUUUCAUCCUAGAUGCACCCAUUUUUCCUGGAAAAUGACUUUAUAGACGGCUCUCCACACCCCGAGUCCUGUGACUUCUUCCAAGAAUUUACUCAGGAUUUUUUAGAAAAAUACAUCUCGGUUCCAGCCUGACUUUCCAAAUAUUGCCUUUGCUGAGGGGUCAGCCUGCAGCCUUGUACUGGGGUCACCCUCUGAAGCCCUGUUACAUCUGUCAACCUGAAGGUUUUGAGGUCAUUGACAGCACCGUGCAGGGUAAAGCUCCCUCAGCCUGCCCAGCCCGGAGCAGAUACCCCAGGGGACUCCACAAGGACUAACAAGAAGCUGUUAUCUCUGCCUGUUGCCAUAGGUGAUGGUUCUUCUGCUCCUUUUUUUUUUUUUUUUUUUUCCCCAUGCUCAGCUAAAAACAACCCAUACUCACUGGUGUUAUAAACUGUUUGCAGCAAGAUAAUUACCUAUUAGAAAUUCCACAAUUAUUUCAUUACACAUUAUUAGAGAGAGAGGAAAAAAAAUAAAAAUGUCAAUCCCAUAAUAUAGUUAAUGGAAAUUAUUAAAUUGUACAAAUAACUUC
Oxyura jamaicensis (ruddy duck) is the source of this 880-nucleotide long non-coding RNA. RefSeq lists it as uncharacterized. The record is from RefSeq and is a predicted model, not a curated record. The transcript has 2 exons. Lineage: Eukaryota; Metazoa; Chordata; Aves; Anseriformes; Anatidae.